Podarcis lilfordi (Lilford's wall lizard) is the source of this 69-nucleotide non-coding RNA. The record is from the annotation of a GenBank genome assembly. Lineage: Eukaryota; Metazoa; Chordata; Lepidosauria; Squamata; Lacertidae.
UCCUGGAUAGCUCAGUCGGUAGAGCAUGAGACUCUAGGGGACGUGGGUUUGAGUCUCACGUUGGUCAAA